GGGGCUAUAGUGACAACUGGUAGAACGGAACCAUGGCAUGGUUUUGAUCUGGGUUCGACUCCCAGUAGCUCCA
Molecule: transfer RNA, 73 nt
Filed under: Marinobacter sp.
Lineage: Bacteria; Pseudomonadati; Pseudomonadota; Gammaproteobacteria; Pseudomonadales; Marinobacteraceae
Description: tRNA-Ala
Rfam family: tRNA
About the family: Transfer RNA (tRNA) molecules are approximately 80 nucleotides in length. Their secondary structure includes four short double-helical elements and three loops (D, anti-codon, and T loops).
Source: RNAcentral